This 223-nucleotide long non-coding RNA is filed under the name Lathyrus oleraceus (garden pea). RNAcentral describes it as "Pisum sativum (pea) long non-coding RNA (PSAT_LNC014638)". The record is from RNAcentral. Lineage: Eukaryota; Viridiplantae; Streptophyta; Magnoliopsida; Fabales; Fabaceae.
UCCAUGUCCUUAUUUUAUUUUUAUCAUACUCAUUUUAGAAGUUGGAAUUUUUAUUUGAUUCAAUUGAUUUAAAUUAUUUUAAAACGAUUAAAUCAUAUAAAAAAAUUUUCCAUGUCCUUAUUUUAUUUUUAUCAUACUCAUUUUAGAAGUUGGAAUUUUUAUUUGAUUCAAUUGAUUUAAAUUAUUUUAAAACGAUUAAAUCAUAUAAAAAGGGCAUUAUAGG